AUCACUUACCUGUUUACCUGUUGACGAUGUCGGACCCUCUUACUCUGCCACCUUGUCGUAUAUGUACAGGUAUUGCCACAGGGAUACACUAUGGCAUUAAUACCUGUGAAGCAUGUAAGGCUUUCUUUCGGCGUGCUUCAAUGGAGAAGGAUAAGUACCAAUGUACGGCUGAUUAUAAUUGUGUCAUCACUGACAGACGACGGGGAAACUGCUCUGCUUGUCGUCUAAAGAAAUGGUUAGAUCUUGGAAUGUCAAAAGGGGGCAAGUAUAUUUACUUACACUGUCUAUAGGCCAGCAAUGACUCCUCUCCUAUUUUGGCAAAUUAAAUGUGAAGAGGCUUCAUAUCUAUACUUGGUUAUUAGCUCACCAGUUGAGCUUAUGCUAAACAUCUUCUGUCCAUCAACAGUUCAAGCAACUUCUUAAUUAUCCAUGAUU
Long non-coding RNA from Pecten maximus, 435 nucleotides. RefSeq lists it as uncharacterized. Lineage: Eukaryota; Metazoa; Mollusca; Bivalvia; Pectinida; Pectinidae. The record is from RefSeq and is a predicted model, not a curated record. The transcript has 3 exons.